Molecule: ribosomal RNA, 305 nt
Filed under: uncultured bacterium
Lineage: Bacteria
Description: bacterial SSU rRNA
Rfam family: Bacterial small subunit ribosomal RNA
Source: RNAcentral
UACGCCCUACGGGAGGCAGCAGUGGGGGAUAUUGCACAAUGGGGGCAACCCUGAUGCAGCGACGCCGCGUGAGCGAUGGAGUACUUCGGUAUGUAAAGCUCUGUCAGCAGGGAAGAGAAUGACGGUACCUGACCAAGAAGCCCCGGCUAAAUACGUGCCAGCAGCCGCGGUAAUACGUAUGGGGCAAGCGUUAUCCGGAUUUACUGGGUGUAAAGGGAGCGUAGGCGGCAGGGCAAGCCUGAUGUGAAAGCCCGUGGCCCAACCCCGGGACUGCUCUUGGAACUGCGUGGCUGGAGUGCAGGAGG